CCCAGAGUCUCCUGUGCCAUGUAUGGGAUUCCAACCCAGGAUGGUCCUGUUUGAGGGCUCACUGGCCAUUCUACGCUGUUCCAAAAUGGCAAGUUUUUCUUUGGGGGCCCUUGGUGUUGUCUGCGGUUCCAGAAUCCGCAGAUACUUCUUGUGAGCCCUGUAAGCUCACACGCUAUCGCACCAGCAGGUGGCGCUGUCUACAGCCCCCAAACCCCUGUAUCUGUUGGCCGGAUGGGUCCCUCUGUUCUCCCCUGAGGCCCUUGUCAGAUCUGAGAUCUAGUUAUGUUUGGAGCUCCCUGAGAACACUGUGCCACCUGUGUGUGACUUUUCUCUGUAUCCAUUUAUGACUUUUAUUUGUUUGAGACAGGGUCUCACUAUGUAGUUCAGGCUGGCCCCCAACCUGUGACAAUCCUCCUGCCUCAGCCUCCUGAAUCCUGGGGAUUACAAAGGUGCACCAUCAGACCAGGCAUUUUCCAUUUUUGAGAGAAGAUUUUACUAUGUAACCCAGGCUGUCCUCGAGCUUGCCUCAGCCAUCCCUCGGGUCCCUCUGGGAUCUAUGUCCCAGAUGAAUUGUUGGGUAGGGUAGGGAUGGUGUGUUCGGUGAAUCUUAUAGGUUGGACCCUCCCUUCUGGGGUCUUUUGAUUAUAUGGGAAGUUCUCUAGGCUCUUAGCAGCCCUGCAUUCACACACUGAUGGUCCCGUUUGAAGUGUGAUCUGUGUAUGGUGUUUGAGGGUCAUACUGGCACUUGGCCAGUUUGGGAUGUGGGGCAGAGGUAUGGCUGUGACAAGGCUUCGGUUUUUGAGAUUGGGUCUCAUGUAUCUCAGUCUGGCCUUGAACUCCCUAUAUAGCUGAGGAUGACCUUGAACCCUUGCCUCAGCCAGAAUGCUCAGAUUCCAGGCAGCACUAUAUUACUAUUUCCCUUUUCUUACGUCAAGGUCUGUCUAUGUAGCCCAGGCUAGCUUUAAUCUCAUAACACUCUUCCUGCCUCUGUGACUGGAAAGCUAGGGCUACGGACAUGUUUUACCACACUGGUUUAGCCAAGCAUACCCCUGUUUUAUCACCCUUGCCAUGGCUAAACAGACUUCUAGAGCUGGUCACCCCCCACCCACAAGGCAGGCAAAUUAAGUCCCUGCAGGUGUUUUCUUCAGAGGAAAGCCCCCUUUUACAGUCAUCUUUCAAACUAGAGAGCAUUCCCACAAUCCAGAUAUCUGAAUGUGAAUUUUUGGACAACUGGUAACCUCUGGCCAGCUUUUCUGGAGCCAGCCUUUGUCCAGAUGUUGGCUCAGGACCCUGCUCAGUGCCUGCCUGUCUCACACCAGUGACUUCUCACAACUGCCCGUCCGGGCCCAGUGUUUUACCUGCUGCAGGUCAAGCAGACUCAAACUGUGGGCUUCUCUUGGGCCUCCAUGGCAGAAUCAGAACUCAGAGUUUUGAAGCCUGAGUGAGCUGGGCCACCAUGAAGAGGCCCUUAAAACUCUGCCACCCAGAUGGGCAGCACCUCAGUGGGUGGCCAGGGGGCAGGAAAGGAUCAUGGAAGAUCCAGAUGUUCAUGUGGUUAAGGUUAAACUGGUACCAAAUAAAAUUAUUUCUUAAAACCCAACAUCAUCAAUCUACAUGCAUAAUAAAGCCCUACAUCAAAAUUCA
Molecule: long non-coding RNA, 1644 nt
Filed under: Rattus norvegicus (Norway rat)
Lineage: Eukaryota; Metazoa; Chordata; Mammalia; Rodentia; Muridae
Description: long non-coding RNA NONRATT002595
Source: RNAcentral